Molecule: ribosomal RNA, 251 nt
Filed under: uncultured bacterium
Lineage: Bacteria
Description: partial 16S ribosomal RNA
Rfam family: Bacterial small subunit ribosomal RNA
Source: RNAcentral
UAUGAUUAGAGCGGCGGACGGGUGAGUAACGCGUAGGAAUCUACCUAGUAGUGGGGGAUAACGUGUGGAAACGCACGCUAAUACCGCAUACGUCCUACGGGAGAAAGCAGGGGACCUUCGGGCCUUGCGCUAUUAGAUGAGCCCAAGUCGGAUUAGCUAGUUGGUAGGGUAAAGGCCUACCAAGGCGACGAUCUAUAGCUGGUCUGAGAGGACGAUCAGCCACACUGGGACUGAGACACGGCCCAGACUCC